UACAGGGGGUGCAAGCGUUAAUCGGAGUUACUGGGCGUAAAGGGCGCGUAGGCGGAUAUUUAAGUCGGAUGUGAAAUCCCUGGGCUUAACCUAGGAAUUGCAUUCGAUACUAUUUAUCUAGAGUAUGGUAGAGGAAAGUGGAAUUCUCGGUGUAGUGGUAAAAUACGUAGAGAUCGAGAAGAACACCAGUGGCGAAGGCGACUUUCUGGACCAAUACUGACGCUGAGGCGCGAAAGCGUGGGGAG
This 245-nucleotide ribosomal RNA is filed under the name uncultured bacterium. RNAcentral's name for it is "partial 16S ribosomal RNA". It matches the Rfam family "Bacterial small subunit ribosomal RNA", at positions 524 to 768 of the family's 1533-position model. The record is from RNAcentral.